Molecule: ribosomal RNA, 445 nt
Filed under: uncultured bacterium
Lineage: Bacteria
Description: bacterial SSU rRNA
Rfam family: Bacterial small subunit ribosomal RNA
Source: RNAcentral
GCCAGACUCCUAGGGAGGCAGCAGUGGGGGAUAUUGCACAAUGGGGGAAACCCUGAUGCAGCGACGCCGCGUGGGUGAAGGAGCGUUUCGGCGCGUAAAGCCCUAUCGGCAGGGAAGAAGGAGGACGGUACCUGACUAAGAAGCCCCGGCUAACUACGUGCCAGCAGCCGCGGUAAUACGUAGGGGGCAAGCGUUAUCCGGAUUUACUGGGUGUAAAGGGGGCGCAGACGGCAGCGCAAGCCAGGAGUGAAAGCCCGGGGCCCAACCCCGGGACUGCUCUUGGAACUGCGCGGCUGGAGUGCAGGAGGGGCAGGCGGAAUUCCUGGUGUAGCGGUGAAAUGCGUAGAUAUCAGGAGGAACACCGGUGGCGAAGGCGGCCUGCUGGACUGCAACUGACGUUGAGGCCCGAAAGCGUGGGGAGCAAACAGGAUUAGAUACCCUGGUA